GUUUGAUCAUGGCUCAGAUUGAACGUUGGCGGCACGCCUAAUACAUGCAAGUCGAACGAGAAAGUACCUUCGGGUAUGAGUACAGUGGCGGACGGGUGAGUAACGCGUAGGAAUCUACCUUCAGGUGGGGGACAACUCGGGGAAACUCGAGCUAAUACCGCAUAAUACCUAAGGGUUAAAGUGGGGGAUCUUCGGACCUCACGCCAGGAGAGGAGCCUGCGUUGGAUUAGCUAGUUGGUGGGG
RNAcentral lists this ribosomal RNA (243 nucleotides) under Strombidinopsis acuminata. Its description in RNAcentral is "partial Bacterial small subunit ribosomal RNA". It matches the Rfam family "Bacterial small subunit ribosomal RNA", at positions 11 to 257 of the family's 1533-position model. Lineage: Eukaryota; Ciliophora; Spirotrichea; Choreotrichida; Strombidinopsidae. The record is from RNAcentral.